Molecule: ribosomal RNA, 265 nt
Filed under: uncultured bacterium
Lineage: Bacteria
Description: partial 16S ribosomal RNA
Rfam family: Bacterial small subunit ribosomal RNA
Source: RNAcentral
UACGAAGGGUGCAAGCGUUACUCGGAAUUAUUGGGCGUAAAGAGCUUGUAGGCGGUUUGUCGCGUCUGCUGUGAAAAUCCGGGGCUCAACCCCGGACUUGCAGGUGGGUACGGGGCAGACUAGAGUGUGGUAGGGGAGACUGGAAUUCCUGGUGUAGCGGUGGAAUGCGCAGAUAUCAGGAGGAACACCGAUGGCGAAGGCAGGUCUCUGGGCCACUACUGACGUGAGAAGCGAAAGCAUGGGGAGCGAACAGGAUUAGACUACC